Molecule: ribosomal RNA, 300 nt
Filed under: uncultured bacterium
Lineage: Bacteria
Description: bacterial SSU rRNA
Rfam family: Bacterial small subunit ribosomal RNA
Source: RNAcentral
GACGAACGCUGGCGGCGUGCUUAACACAUGCAAGUCGAACGAUGAAGCCUUUCGGGGUGGAUUAGUGGCGAACGGGUGAGUAACACGUGGGCAAUCUGCCCUGUACUUUGGGAUAAGCCUUGGAAACGAGGUCUAAUACCGGAUAUGACUGGCCUUCGCAUGGGGUUGGUUGAAAGUUCUGGCGGUACAGGAUGAGCCCGCGGCCUAUCAGCUUGUUGGUGGGGUAAUGGCCUACCAAGGCGACGACGGGUAGCCGGCCUGAGAGGGCGACCGGCCACACUGGGACUGAGACACGGCCCA